Cercocebus atys (sooty mangabey) is the source of this 1665-nucleotide long non-coding RNA. RefSeq lists it as uncharacterized. The transcript has 3 exons. The record is from RefSeq and is a predicted model, not a curated record. NCBI's taxonomy places the organism in Eukaryota, Metazoa, Chordata, Mammalia, Primates, Cercopithecidae.
UGGCUGAGCGAAGGGUGGGGGCUGCGCAUGCUCAUCUACAGAAGCGCCGCUUGGCCUUUGGACUAACCUAUCUGUCGCGGUAACGGGCCGGCGUCGCCGCCAGGGGACGCUGGGGCAGCAGGGUGGUCGCUGGGUGGUGAGCUGGCGCCGAGGACGCCGAGCGACUGCGGGGCUUCUGUCAGCGUCCUGCUAUGCGGCUGCCCGCCUCGCUCCCUCGUAGUGUCCGUGGACGCGCAGGCCUUGAAGAACCUCCUCGCGGCGGGCCCCCGAGGUAACUUCUGAGGCAGAUAAUGGCGCCUGGACUGCGGUGGCGCUUGCCCUGCCGCCUGGCGGCUUUCUGCAGGGCCAGGGUAUACUUGUUUUUCUGUAAACCAACUCUUCCUUAGUGCAGGAGAGGUGUCAAAGCGCCGGCGCGUCUCCAGAGCCCCGGGAGGAAGGCUGUAACGGCAGCCCCGUCGUAGACAGGGACAUUCGCAUCCCGAGCCCUGGAUCUCUGAAAAGCAGACCAGAAUUUGGAAGCUGGAAGGAACCUUAGAUCGUCCAUUCUGGGUGUCUCUCUUCGCUGGCGUUUUCCCACGAGAGGAACCUACAAGUGUCAAGGAAAAAAGGACAGCUAACCACAGGGCAGGCCACGGGCAAGAUAUCUCAGUGUUCUCCGCUCUCAGGUCAGGUCAUGAUCCCCAGGGGACCUGGAGGACUGAAUGAUGCUGCCCCCGAGGAGGCUGCUGUCUUGUCUUAGGAGGGAGAGCAGGUGAAGUCCCUAUGGGAGGAAGCACCUAGCCCCAUUUCUGCUGAGCAAGAAGAGGUGGCAGGGACCCCAGACUGGGAGGUAAGGACAGCCCGGGGCUUCAACUGGAAUGUCUCCAGCAUGGGUCCGACUGAGCAGCCACGGAGCACUGCAGAGUGGGAGGCAGCAGGGCAGGGAGGCAGUACUGGAGGCUGGCUCAACCUGAAGACCAGCAGGCCAAGCUGUGUCCCAGGGGAGUGAAGACAUCUGUGCAGAGCUGAGAGGCAGCAGCCAUGUGUGAACAGACUGGGCCUCAUCCUGGCCCCACCGACUUCUUGCAGACAGAGCCUGUUUCCCUGUCUGUGUAACACAGAACCUGCCUGAUCUCACUGCUGGGUUCCUCUUCCUCCUGCCAGGAAAAUAAAAAGGUUCAAAAGGAAAUUGCUGGGUAUCCAUCUGAGGCCUCUGAGGACAGCAAAGAGCAUAAGGCCCUGGGACUGGUUCCCCGUGCUCAUGACAGAGCUCUGCCUGGACUGGCUCUCAGCUUCCAACACCCUCAAGACUCAGAACUGUGAAGAAAAAGUUUCCAAUAAUUCCAAGAGUUGUUGCUGCUGCUAUAGGCCCUGCUGCUGCCUUUUGGGGCCUCCGUCUUCAGAGAAACCCAGUGUGGCUUCAUCCACAUUCCCUGUCCCCACAGCUGCAGGAACAGCACUUCCUGCCACCGAGCCACGUCACCACAAUGGAUUGUCUCUGGAAGGGACAAGGGGGCCCUGGCCGGCCUUCCGACUGACUCGGUGCCAGGGGAUGGACCAACGUCCCUCUUGUGCUGACAGCCGGGCUGCACCCUGGCAAGAGGGCAUUUACAGAAAUGCUGGCGGGAACCGCUGCCAGGGAUGCUGUAGGGUCCUCUGGCAAAAGAGGUCUCAGGUGGCUUCUCA